UGAGCUCGCAGGACCAGCAGAAACAGU
This 27-nucleotide non-coding RNA is filed under the name Mus musculus (house mouse). The record is from RNAcentral. Lineage: Eukaryota; Metazoa; Chordata; Mammalia; Rodentia; Muridae.